GGCGAGGUGGCCGAGUGGUUAAGGCGAUGGACUGCUAAUCCAUUGUGCAGAGCACGCGUGGGUUCAAAUCCCAUCCUCGUCG
Molecule: transfer RNA, 82 nt
Filed under: Xiphophorus maculatus (southern platyfish)
Lineage: Eukaryota; Metazoa; Chordata; Actinopteri; Cyprinodontiformes; Poeciliidae
Rfam family: tRNA
About the family: Transfer RNA (tRNA) molecules are approximately 80 nucleotides in length. Their secondary structure includes four short double-helical elements and three loops (D, anti-codon, and T loops).
Source: Rfam by way of RNAcentral